This is a long non-coding RNA of Amaranthus tricolor (Joseph's coat), 775 nucleotides long. RefSeq lists it as uncharacterized. The record is from RefSeq and is a predicted model, not a curated record. Lineage: Eukaryota; Viridiplantae; Streptophyta; Magnoliopsida; Caryophyllales; Amaranthaceae. The transcript is spliced from 2 exons.
GUACUCAUGGAUCAUAAAUACAAUUGGCUUCCCCUUAUUUUGCUGAGUUUUAUAUUUUAAUGACAAAUUCUUGUGAGAGACGGUCUUUUUGAGAAAUCAUUUUAAUUUGGCCGACUCAUUAUAUAUUUUUAAAAUUUAGUAAAUAGGCAUUAAGAAUGAUAAAAGUAGACAUUUACAAUAUUGAAAGGAGGCAAUAAGAAUACGGUAAAUAAGCAUUAAAAAUACAGUAAGAAGAUAUUAAUCUUUAAUGGAUUAGGCUUAAGAUACGUCUAAGACAGUCACUCAAGAGACUAGCUAUACAAAAAGUCCAUAUGAUUUUCCCACCUUCCAAAUGGUCUUCUGUUCUUCCCUUGCUUCUUUUUUGUUCUUCAAUUUCAGGUUAUAUUAUUCAUGUAAAACCCUAGAUUAUUAGUCCUAACAUGAAUUGCAAAGAUUUGAUGCAAUCAAUACAAUUGGUUCCAGCAAUCAGCUACGAUAAUUCCUGCUUUGAUACACAUCAUGUCCAUGUAAUGGAAUUCAUCAAUUUCAGAUAAACCAUACCCGUUUAUUUGCUCACAAGAUUGGGAUGUUAACAGUCUUAUAUACCACUAAGGGGCCGUUUGGUUCGCACAAGGGAAUCGGAAUGGAAUCAGGAAAGGGAAUGAAGGAGAAAGAAAUGGAUUCCCCUAAUUUAGCCUAGUUGUUUGGUUGUGUUCAGGAAACGGAAUGAACUGCUGAAUGAUUCCCUUUGUGACUGUUUGGUUCAAGCUAAGGAAUCAAAAUUUGAUUUUUUAAA